GCCGGAGUGGCGGAAUGGCAGACGCGCUAGACUCAAAAUCUGGUGUACCUUGCGUACGUGAGGGUUCAAGUCCCUCCUCCGGCACCA
Molecule: transfer RNA, 87 nt
Filed under: Myxococcales bacterium
Lineage: Bacteria; Pseudomonadati; Myxococcota; Myxococcia; Myxococcales
Description: tRNA-Leu
Rfam family: tRNA
About the family: Transfer RNA (tRNA) molecules are approximately 80 nucleotides in length. Their secondary structure includes four short double-helical elements and three loops (D, anti-codon, and T loops).
Source: RNAcentral